AUGAACGCUGGCGGCGUGCCUAAUACCUGCAAGUCGAGCGAACGGACGAGAAGCUUGCUUCUCUGAUGUUAGCGGCGGACGGGUGAGUAACACGUGGAUAGCCUACCUAUAAGACUGGGAUAACUUCGGGAAACCGGAGCUAAUACCGGAUAAUAUUUUGAACCGCAUGGUUCAAAAGUGAAAGACGGUCUUGCUGUCACUUAUAGAUGGAUCCGCGCUGCAUUAGCUAGUUGGUAAGGUAACGGCUUACCAAGGCAACGAUGCAUAGCCGACCUGAGAGGGUGAUCGGCCACACUGGAACUGAGACACGGUCCAGACUCCUACGGGAGGCAGCAGUAGGGAAUCUUCCGCAAUGGGCGAAAGCCUGACGGAGCAACGCCGCGUGAGUGAUGAAGGUCUUCGGAUCGUAAAACUCUGUUAUUAGGGAAGAACAUAUGUGUAAGUAACUGUGCACAUCUUGACGGUACCUAAUCAGAAAGCCACGGCUAACUACGUG
RNAcentral lists this ribosomal RNA (496 nucleotides) under uncultured bacterium. Its description in RNAcentral is "partial 16S ribosomal RNA". It matches the Rfam family "Bacterial small subunit ribosomal RNA", at positions 29 to 507 of the family's 1533-position model. The record is from RNAcentral.